AUGGAAGAACCGAUCACAGAAGAGGAGGUACAGAACAUCAUCAAUGAUUUGGACGGGUGCCGGGCACCUGGCCCAGACGGGUUCACAGCCAUGUUCUACAAACAGUGUUGGUCGCUGAUUAAGUCUGAUCUGAUCAGUGCGCUCCCGGCGGUCCAGAACAAUUCCUCGGCCUACUUGCAUCGCCUCAAUCAGGCCACCAUCGUGUUGAUACCGAAGAAUGAGGAGGCCAUCACCGCAAAAGACUUCAGGCCCAUUAGCCUAGUGUGCAGCUUUCUAAGCUGGUCGCUAAAAUCAUGGCAAACAGACCCCAGAAGCGGAUGA
Molecule: ribosomal RNA, 321 nt
Filed under: Triticum aestivum (bread wheat)
Lineage: Eukaryota; Viridiplantae; Streptophyta; Magnoliopsida; Poales; Poaceae
Description: partial small subunit ribosomal RNA
Source: RNAcentral